CUGCAUGAGUUGCAUCCUUCUGUAAAUAUGGACAAACAAUAAAAUUGAUGGAAUUUAGGUGAGCAACAUGUGAGUUAUAUAUAUGCUCACAAAGGACCAUCGCACACAA
RNAcentral lists this small nucleolar RNA (109 nucleotides) under Setaria italica (foxtail millet). Lineage: Eukaryota; Viridiplantae; Streptophyta; Magnoliopsida; Poales; Poaceae. The record is from RNAcentral.